GUGAGAUGUCGUUCAGCCAAGGAGCAUGCGCACUGGGAGAUAUCGGGAAUGAAAUGGUCCUCCAUGAGAGCCACAAGCGGGCAUUCAACAACUUGAAAACUGGAUUGAAAAUGAGAGACAGAGCAGCCACUCCAGAAGCUUCCAAAAUCACUCUGCACCUUCUUGAACUGCUGCAAUCCACGUGGUGAAGUAGCUCCCAUGUUGCAGUUUGGAUGCGAACUUCCCUGGCUUGGCCAGAAUUUAUUGCCCAGAGGGCUAUCAAGUGUCAGCUGCAUUGCUGUACGGCUGGAGUCACACAGACCAAACCAGGGAAUUGGAAAGGGAGCAUUUACUGACAAGCUGCUCAACUCACACAUUGGAUCAAAAACUGCCAGGAACACUUAAUUCUCAGGAACUUUGAAUAUGGAAGGAACAAGUGUCAUUCACAGUGAAGAGAAACCACACACGUGGUCUGUGUGGACAAGCCUUCAGUCAAUUGUCUGACCUGUCAGUACGUAAAUGCAGUCAAAACUGGGUGACAACCAUAACAUCAAACAGCUCUUGCUUUAUAAUAUCAUGGUCAUGGAUCUCAGUUUGAGUUAAGCAAGGGCCACUCAUCUCCUCUCAUCCCAACAUUCUUAGCGCAAACGUGGACCAAACAGCUGAAUUCCAAAUGUGAGAGGGACUAUCCACUAUCCUGAGGCUCCAUUUGACAGAGCAUUGCAUGAAGGAAUCAUAACAAAGCUAAAUUCAAUAGGAACCAGAGAAUAUUAUUCUUCCUUGGAUAGCUGGUUUUUGAAAAGAUUGCCUCUUCAGACCUCAGUAAAUCGAAACAAGGUGAAUUUAUUCAAACUUGUACCACAUACAUGUGGAAGAGGUCUGUCAGUUUAGCUCAGAGAUACUACGCUUUUACAGCUCAAAACAGCAUAUGCAGGCAUUUUCAUGUAAGAAUGGUUGCAUGUGACAUUGAUAUAAAAUAAAUUAUAUGCCACUUACUACAAAAACAGGAUGCUGUUCAGUUUCUGACAAAGUUCUGAGUCCUCUAAUUUCAACAGGACUUCCACUUCCAUACUAUCUUCAGAGCUUCUCUAUCCCACCAUCAGCUCACAGCUGGGUGAGCAAUACUUACGUGACUAUCUUAAGCUGUACAGAUAGUUUCAGAGCCCUAAGUAACUGUUGAUGGUUUACUGUUAUGGACCUGCAGUUAAACUGUCUGAGCCACAAUAACUCUGACCUGAUAUGGUUGUAUUUGACAGUUACCUUGUGCUGCACUGCUUGGACAAGUUUAUUUUCUACCUGUUCUGUGUUUUAAAGUUCUGCUCCUUUUCCUUCUCUGUUUCCAAUGUACAUUCUCCUAUCCUGCUUACCCUACUUCCCCUGGUUUGAUAAUACUGAAUACAGAAGAGGAGGCUUGUGAUUGUAGGACGGCAAUUGUCUCAGCUGCAGGAGUUCCUCAGGAUCAGGUUCUAUUCCCAACCACCUUCAGCUGUUUCAUCAAUGACCUUCCCUGCGCCAUAAGGUCAGAAGUGGGAAUGUUUGCUGCUGCUGGCACAAUACUUUAGCACUGUUUGUGGCUCCUUGGAUACUGAAGCAGUAGAUAUCUAAAUGCAGUAUGCCUGGACAACAUUGAAGUGAGCCUGCCAUGUGACAAAGAACAUUUGCACCAACAAGUACCUACAGAUAAUAACCAAAUCUGAGAAAUGAGAAUCUAACCACAGCCAAAUGACAUUCACUGGGUGUAUCUUUAUGGAAUUCCCCAUUAUCAUCAUCCUGGGGGCUAAUAUUGAUGAGAAACUGAAUUGGAACUAUCAGCUGAAUAAUGUGCCUGCAAAAUACGUCAAACCCUCUCAACCACCUGAUCUUCCUGUUCAACCACGUUCAGGGAUUUGUGAAUGUUCAUUCCAAGGUCUGUUUGUUCUUCUACACCACUCGCUAUUCCUCACUUUCAUAGUUCAGUCUCCCUCAAUUCAUCAUCACUCACUCCUGUGGAUUCAAUUCCUUUCACCAUUUUAUCUUUCCACUUGAUUGAUAACUCCCUGCAGUCCACGGUUUUCUUCGUCAUGGUCAACUACAUGAUUAUUUAAUCUAAAUUAUGGCUUCUACAACUAGGUUUUAAUGAUGGUUAUACAUCAGAAAGCAGUGGAACUCCACUGGAUUAAAAACUGAAAGGACUGCAAUUGCUGCAAAUCAGAAACAAAUUAAAAAACAGAAAAGACUGGAAAAGGUCAGUAGAACUGGCAGCAAAUGUGGAGAGAAAUCAGAGGUAACAUUUCAGGUCGAGUAACCCUCAGAAUUCCACUGGAAACAAGUGUCCAGGUAUGGUUCCUCCUUAGGUGGGGAUUCGCAGCAGCUAUAACAGCAGAGUGUAACUACAUGUGAAUUUGUGGGUGUCUCCGGAUUUUAUUUUUUGAAUAAUCCCUUCCCACACAUGGGACUGGUGAACAACCUCUCCCCAGUACACCUGAGUAAAUCAGUUUCCACCUCAGUGAGUAAUUGAAUCCUUCCCUCAGUCUGCACAGUUUGCUGGUUUCUCUGUGCUGUGGGUGUCCUUGUCUGAUUCCAGAUUGGGCAAUCAGGUGAACUCGAGUCAAUGCAGAGAGAAGGCCUUUUUUUUUCCGAGUUGUGAAUGUGUUUUUGUUCUUCCUUCUUCUCCCAUAGGAGGUGGGUAUUGCUGGUCAGGAGAGCAUUUGUUGUUCAUCCCUAAUUUAUCUUGAGCUGAUGUCAGACGGCAGAUAGGGAUCAACGAUGUUGUUGUGGGCCUCAAGUCACUUGUACGCCAGACCAGGCAAGGACUUCCCUUCCAAAGGGACAUGAAUGAAUGGGAUUUGGGAAAUUAAGGUCAUGGCCUCUGUUCCUGAAAUUCAGGUUUACUUUCCAGAUUUUAUACAUUGAAUUCAAACUCCAGCAGCUGCUGUGUCUCAGUCCCCAGGGAUUAUCACCACUGCACUGCUAUCUCUCUGCUGUGAUAAUGGGAACUGCAGAUGCUGGAGAAUCCAAGAUAAUGAAAUGUGAGGCUGGAUGAACAAAGCAUGUCCAGCAG
Molecule: long non-coding RNA, 3019 nt
Organism: Stegostoma tigrinum
Lineage: Eukaryota; Metazoa; Chordata; Chondrichthyes; Orectolobiformes; Stegostomatidae
Exons: 4
Source: RefSeq, a predicted model, not a curated record